UGAGGAAUAUUGGGCAAUGCCCGCAAGGGUGACCCAGCAACGCCGCGUGGAGGAUGAAUGUCGUAAGAUUGUAAACUCCUGUUAGAGGGGAAGAAUAGUACCGGUUGGACCGGUAUAUGACUGUACCCUCAGAGAAAGCCCCGGCUAACUACGUGCCAGCAGCCGCGGUAAUACGUAGGGGGCAAGCGUUGUCCGGAUUUACUGGGUGUCAAGGGCGCGCAGGCGGGAUAAAAAGUCAGUGGUGAAAUCCUACAGCUUAACUGUAGAACUGCCUUUGAUACUUUUAUUCUUGAGUUCGGGAGAGAGAGACGGAAUUCCUGGUGUAGUGGUGAAAUACGUAGAUAUCUGGAAGAACACCAGUUGCGAAGGCGGUCUCUUGGUCCGACACUGACGCUGAGGCGCGAAAGCGUGGGGAGCAAACA
This 422-nucleotide ribosomal RNA is filed under the name uncultured bacterium. RNAcentral's name for it is "bacterial SSU rRNA". It matches the Rfam family "Bacterial small subunit ribosomal RNA", at positions 355 to 774 of the family's 1533-position model. The record is from RNAcentral.